CGGUGUUUAACUGGCGUGAUGUGGGACGUCCUACCGGUGGGCUUAGCCUCGCGAGGGGCGGCCCAACUAAUAUCCCGUCGCGGUGCUCUUUACUGAGUGUCGAGUCGGGCCGGUACGUUUACUUUGAACAAAUUAGAGUGCUUAAAGCAGGCUAUCCUCGCCUGAAUACUGCGUGCAUGGAAUAAUGGAAUAGGACCUCGGUUCUAUUUUGUUGGUUUUCGGAACCCCGAGGUAAUGAUUAAUAGGGACAGAUGGGGGCAUUCGUAUUGCGACGUUAGAGGUGAAAUUCUUGGAUCGUCGCAAGACGGACAGAAGCGAAAGCAUUUGCCAAAAAUGUUUUCAUUAAUCAAGAACGAAAGUUAGAGGUUCGAAGGCGAUCAGAUACCGCCCUAGUUCUAACCAUAAACGAUGCCAGCUAGCGAUCCGCCGAAGUUCCUCCGAUGACUCGGCGGGCAGCUUCCGGGAAACCAAAGCUUUUGGGUUCCGGGGGAAGUAUGGUUGCAAAGCUGAAACUUAAAGGAAUUGACGGAAGGGCACCACCAGGAGUGGAGCCUGCGGCUUAAUUUGACUCAACACGGGAAACCUCACCAGGCCCAGACACCGGGAAGGAUUGACAGAUUGAUAGCUCUUUCUUGAUUCGGUGGGUGGUGGUGCAUGGGCCGUUCUUAGUUGGUGGAGCGAUUUGUCUGGUUAAUUCCGAUAACGAACGAGACUCUAGCCUGCUAAAUAGGCGUACCUUAUGGUAUCGCGAAGGCCCCCGGCUUCGGCCGGUGGGUUUUUACUACCAACGUACAAACAAAUCUUUUUAGAGGGACAGGCGG
This 821-nucleotide ribosomal RNA is filed under the name uncultured eukaryote. Its description in RNAcentral is "SSU rRNA". It matches the Rfam family "Eukaryotic small subunit ribosomal RNA", at positions 629 to 1426 of the family's 1831-position model. The record is from RNAcentral.